Molecule: ribosomal RNA, 497 nt
Filed under: uncultured bacterium
Lineage: Bacteria
Description: partial 16S ribosomal RNA
Rfam family: Bacterial small subunit ribosomal RNA
Source: RNAcentral
GAUGAACGCUGGCGGCGUGCCUAAUACAUGCAAGUCGAGCGAACAGGCGAGGAGCUUGCUCCUCUGACGUUAGCGGCGGACGGGUGAGUAACGCGUGGAUAACCUACCUAUAAGACUGGGAUAACUUCGGGAAACCGGAGCUAAUACCGGAUAAUAUAUUGAACCGCAUGGUUCAAUAGUGAAAGACGGUUUUGCUGUCACUUAUAGAUGGAUCCGCGCCGCAUUAGCUAGUUGGUAAGGUAACGGCUUACCAAGGCAACGAUGCGUAGCCGACCUGAGAGGGGGGUCGGCCACCCUGGAACUGAGACACGGUCCAGACUCCUACGGGAGGCAGCAGUAGGGAAUCUUCCGCAAUGGGCGAAAGCCUGACGGAGCAACGCCGCGUGAGUGAUGAAGGUCUUCGGAUCGUAAAACUCUGUUAUUAGGGAAGAACAAAUGUGUAAGUAACUAUGCACGUCUUGACGGUACCUAAUCAGAAAGCCACGGCUAACUACGUG